RNAcentral lists this ribosomal RNA (525 nucleotides) under uncultured bacterium. RNAcentral's name for it is "bacterial SSU rRNA". It matches the Rfam family "Bacterial small subunit ribosomal RNA", at positions 984 to 1509 of the family's 1533-position model. The record is from RNAcentral.
ACAUCCAGAGAACUUAGCAGAGAUGCUUUGGUGCCUUCGGGAACUCUGAGACAGGUGCUGCAUGGCUGUCGUCAGCUCGUGUUGUGAAAUGUUGGGUUAAGUCCCGNAACGAGCGCAACCCUUAUCCUUUGUUGCCAGCGGUUCGGCCGGGAACUCAAAGGAGACUGCCGGUGAUAAACCGGAGGAAGGUGGGGAUGACGUCAAGUCAUCAUGGCCUUUACGGCCAGGGCUACACACGUGCUACAAUGGCGCAUACAAAGAGAAGCGACCUCGCGAGAGCAAGCGGACCUCAUAAAGUGCGUCGUAGUCCGGAUUGGAGUCUGCAACUCGACUCCAUGAAGUCGGAAUCGCUAGUAAUCGUAGAUCAGAAUGCUACGGUGAAUACGUUCCCGGGCCUUGUACACACCGCCCGUCACACCAUGGGAGUGGGUUGCAAAAGAAGUAGGUAGCUUAACCUUCGGGAGGGCGCUUACCACUUUGUGAUUCAUGACUGGGGUGAAGUCGUAACAAGGUAGGCGUAGCGAG